This is a non-coding RNA of Stegodyphus mimosarum, 73 nucleotides long. Lineage: Eukaryota; Metazoa; Arthropoda; Arachnida; Araneae; Eresidae. The record is from Rfam.
GCCUUAGUGGUGUAGCGGUAAGCACGCUCGGCGCAUAUUCGAGUAGUCCGUGGUUCGAGUCCCGGCGAGAGCA